AAAAGGAGCCAGAGGGGUGGGAUGAGGUGGACUUGAUCGCUCCCCACGUUUGAUGGAGGAGGAGACGUGGCUCCUGGCACAUGUGUUCCCACCACAAGACAUCUUAAAGUAUAUAUGUGGCUCACAUCGUAUCUACUGCAUGGCCCGGGACCAAGCAGGAGGUGGUGGACCAAAGAGAAGAGAAGUGGCCAGAUGGACCAGCCAGAGAAAGCCAGCUAUGCACCCUAAUCAGUCACCUAGGACGUCCUGCUUCUAAUAAGCCCGCCUUCUGCUUUUCUGUGCCAACGGCCUCCAGUAAGGGCACAAUCGUAGCCUUUCCUGUUUUCCAUUAUAAAGCUUUCACACCUCUCUGCCUGCCUUUGAGUCUCUGCCAAAUGCAAGUGAUGCUGCCGGACUCCCUUGCUAUAGCAAGCUCUGAAGUAACAGCCUUUGCUUUUCUCCUUUGGUUGUUCUUUGUUUAUUACCACAGCUUCAAAGGCAGCAGCAUUCCAUGGAUUUGCCAGGCCAGUCCUCCAAAGGAUCCUGUUGUGGGUGGUGCUGUCAUUGCCCCUCUUUUCCAGAUAUAAAAAUAGAGGCUCUGAGAGGUUUGGCCAUUUGACUAAAGCUCGUAUUGUCACCCAUGCUAUGCAGCCCAGGUCCCAGUUGCAGAAACUGUUUUUUUGUUUUUGUUUUUUAGCCAUACAGGCUAGUUGUGUUUUACCAAUAGGAUGCCACAAAUGCCCAAGAGAAAACCGGACCGAACCGGCUAGAUCCAAGAUGGCCGGCUUUCCUUGCCUCGAUUUAUCUCUGUGUUUGUUUCAAGAGCACCUGGUAUUUGACAGAGAUGCUGUGCAGCUGUGCUUUAAGAGAUACACAAUGGUCACCCGCCCCGAACGGGCUCUGACUUGACCACAGGAAUAUGCCUCCGCAGAUGAGACCUGGAGGUGUCCCGGAGUUACAUCUGCUUCCUUCCACGCUCAGAUCUCUGCGCAAAGAGGGCAUUUCUACUCUGCUAGGCACAAUUCGAGCUGCGUGGAAAGGAGCGUGCGUGACUGUGCGGAAAGGAGCCUGGAGACUACGCAUGCCCACGGCUGCCCUAAAAGCUCCGCCCCUUUCCUAGAGCCCGGAUGAUCUGUCCGCUUCCUAACCCUUAAAAUCCUCUUACUUUCCUCCCUUCGGGGAGAAGAUGCUGUUAGCGCAGAAGCUCCCCUUCUCCUUUCUCUAAACACUCUCAAGCCUGUCUUGCUUGCACCAAAUUCAGUUUUAUUAUUGGCAGCUAGAACCUGAGCCUGAGCGGGAAAGAGCUCCCUGACGGAGCCACGGGAGGCGUCGGUUCAGCUAGGGCCCCAAGGGCGGGCCUUGCGUCUAAUUCAGUAACAGCAUUGCUGGUAAGUAUUGAUACUAAACCCUUGGCAUCAUAUAGUUAGUUUUUUUUUUUUUUUUUUGCGGUACGCGGGCCUCUCACUGUU
This is a long non-coding RNA of Aethalodelphis obliquidens (Pacific white-sided dolphin), 1448 nucleotides long. RefSeq lists it as uncharacterized. NCBI's taxonomy places the organism in Eukaryota, Metazoa, Chordata, Mammalia, Artiodactyla, Delphinidae. The record is from RefSeq and is a predicted model, not a curated record. The transcript is spliced from 3 exons.